UACGAAGGGGGCUAGCGUUGUUCGGCUUUACUGGGCGUAAAGCGCGCGUAGGCGGAUCGCUAAGUCAGGGGUGAAAUGCCGGGGCUCAACCUCGGAACUGCCUUCUAGACUGCAAGUCUCGAGGUCAGGAGAGGCAAGCGGAAUUCCGAGUGUAGAGGUGAAAUUCGUAGAUAUUCGGAGGAACACCAGUGGCGAAGGCGGCUUGCUGGACUGAUACUGACGCUGAGGUGCGAAAGCGUGGGGAGCAAACAGG
This 253-nucleotide ribosomal RNA is filed under the name uncultured bacterium. RNAcentral describes it as "partial 16S ribosomal RNA". It matches the Rfam family "Bacterial small subunit ribosomal RNA", at positions 524 to 776 of the family's 1533-position model. The record is from RNAcentral.